Molecule: ribosomal RNA, 270 nt
Filed under: uncultured archaeon
Lineage: Archaea
Description: partial 16S ribosomal RNA
Rfam family: Archaeal small subunit ribosomal RNA
Source: RNAcentral
CUGCAGCCCGAGUGGUGGUCGAUUUUAUUGGGCCUAAAACAUUCGUAGCCGGUUUGGUAAAUGCCUGGGUAAAUCGUGUAGCUUAACUAUACGAAUUCCGGGUAGACUGCCAAACUUGAGACCGGGAGAAGCUAGAGGUACUCCUUGGGUAGAGGUGAAAUUCUGUAAUCCUAGGGGGACCACCAGUGGCGAAGGCGUCUAGCUAGAACGGGUUUGACGGUGAGGAAUGAAGCCCUGGGGCGCAAACCGGAUUAGAUACCCGAGUAGUCC